This 786-nucleotide ribosomal RNA is filed under the name Augyles auromicans. Its description in RNAcentral is "partial 16S ribosomal RNA". The stretch from base 284 to 483 matches the Rfam family "Archaeal large subunit ribosomal RNA", at positions 1797 to 2106 of the family's 2987-position model. Lineage: Eukaryota; Metazoa; Arthropoda; Insecta; Coleoptera; Heteroceridae. The record is from RNAcentral.
AAUUUAUUUUAUUUAAAUAAAUUUUCUAUUUGUGGAUUAUUUAUAUUAAUAAUUAAAAUCUUUUGGGGAUGAGCUGAUAAGAUUAAACUAAAUUUUUUUUAUGUUUGAUGAUUAGUAGGAUUAGAAUUUUCUUUCUUUUUAGUAUUUUAUAAUUUAUCAUUUUUUAAUUUUUAUUUUUUUUUUAAUUAGUUUUUUUAUAAAAAUUUAAAUUUUAAUUAUUUAUUUUUAGGAAUUAUUAUGAAAUUAGUAAAUUUUGUAUUUAUUUUUAUUUAUUUUGGAAAGGUAAAUUAAAGGAAUUCGGCAAUUAGUUUUUCGCCUGUUUAAUAAAAACAUGGUCUUUUGUUUAUAAUUUAAGAUUUGACCUGCCCAAUGAUAAUUUAAAUGGCCGCGGUAAUUUGACCGUGCGAAGGUAGCAUAAUCAAUAGUUUCUUGAUUGGAAGCUGGUAUGAAUGGUUGGACGAGAAAACUUCUGUCUCUAGUUUAAUUUUGUUGAAUUUUAUUUUUGAGUUAAAAAGCUUAAAUUUUGUUAAAAGACGAGAAGACCCUAUAGAGUUUUAUUCAAUAAUUUUGUUUAAAAUAAGAAUUUUUAAAAAAUUUUUUGAAUUUGGUUGGGGUGACUUUAAGAUUAAAUUAACUCUUAAAUUUUUUAUUUCAAUAAUGAUUGUUUUUCUUGAUCCGAUUGUUUUGAUUAUUAGACUAAAUUACCUUAGGGAUAACAGCGUUAUUUUUCUUGAGAGUUCCUAUCGAAAGAAAAGAUUGCGACCUCGAUGUUGGAUUAAAAUAAAC